Molecule: small RNA, 301 nt
Filed under: Arabidopsis thaliana (thale cress)
Lineage: Eukaryota; Viridiplantae; Streptophyta; Magnoliopsida; Brassicales; Brassicaceae
Description: ATSL084020
Source: RNAcentral
AAAUAUCAUUAAUAAGAUGAAAUGUAUAAGGACUCGAUAGUCCAAUUUACUCAUGUGUAUAGAAAGGCUAAUCGUUUAGCUUAUGGAUUACCAAAUUAUGUGUUUUUGUUAUUGCUUAGUCUACAUAUAUUUGAUGUUUGUCGAAAUGUCUGAGUGUAGUUAUUAUGUUAUGAAUAAAUCGUAGGCGCUUUUGCCCUCUACAUAUUACUAAAAAAAUGGAAUGUAUAGAACUAAAUGACAAUUUAUUACGAUGAAAUAGAUAAUACAAACUUACGAUGUAUAGUAAAAUUAAAUGUAUAUU